This is a long non-coding RNA of Pomacea canaliculata, 443 nucleotides long. RefSeq lists it as uncharacterized. The record is from RefSeq and is a predicted model, not a curated record. NCBI's taxonomy places the organism in Eukaryota, Metazoa, Mollusca, Gastropoda, Architaenioglossa, Ampullariidae. The transcript is spliced from 3 exons.
AGGUCGUGAGAUCGCUGUAUCAGGUAGACCCCAGAGACUCCACUUUUAUACCUGUUACGGCGUGACCAAUAGACAUAAGUCCUUAAAGUAGAUGUCACAUCACUCAUGGUCAACACAUUUCGUUUUAAUUGGUGUUGGGGAGUAAUUGUAGUACAGGUCGGUACCCGCCUCGUCCUCGCAAGUCACAGGAGGCGACAACUAUGAAGUGCGUUACCCUUGUCUGCCUCGGAAUCUUGCACAGAGAGACUAGCGUUUCACUGAGCAUUCAACUCACACAUGUAAUACUUAAUCUGGAUCACAGAUAAACCAGAUAAGAAUCAUGGAAAGACUUGUGAGAAAAUUUGAAGCACUCAACACAAGGAAUUGACUUCAUACGUAUUGAUAUCUCAGGGCGUUGGUAACACUUAUAAAGCAGAAAGUUUUCUGUACAGUUGCAAGAAGAG